UGGAUAUGGAGUCUUGCUCUGUUUUCCAGGCUGUAGUGCAGUAGCACCAUCUCGGCUCACUGCAACCUCUACCUCCCAAGUUCAAGCCAUUCUUCUGCCUCAGCCUCCCAAGUAGCUGAGACUACAAGCACCACCACACCCAGCUAAUUUUUGUAUUUUUAAUAGAGACAAGGUUUUGCCAUGUUGGCCAGGCUGAUCUCAAACUCCUGACCUCAAGUGAUCCACCCACCUCCCAAAGUGCUGGGAUUACAGGCGUGAGCCACCAUGACCUGGCUAAGAUAAGCUUGUCAUCUUCCCUGCUGGAGGCUGAGAUUGAUGUGAAGACCUUACAGUUUGGGGCAAAAAAAUGUAAACUGAAGUGCUAAGCAACAAAUCCUAUCAGCUAUAAAGAGCAUUAAAGUCCCAUUACUGCUACUUUCUUGGAAAUAGUUAAAGGAGUCUCAUAAAUAUGAGCAGAAAUAAAAUUCAGAAUACAAAAGAAAGCACCUCUAUGCCUACAGGUUUCCUUUCAAGCAUUGCUCUACAUUUCUGGGCUGAGGAAGAGGAAG
This 548-nucleotide long non-coding RNA is filed under the name Homo sapiens (human). RNAcentral describes it as "HSALNT0039179". Lineage: Eukaryota; Metazoa; Chordata; Mammalia; Primates; Hominidae. The record is from RNAcentral.